GACGAACGCUGGCGGCGUUCUUAACACAUGCAAGUCGUACGGUAAGGCCCUUUCGGGGGUACACGAGUGGCGAACGGGUGAGUAACACGUGAGUAACCUGCCCACAACUUUGGGAUAACGCUAGGAAACUGGUGCUAAUACUGGAUAUGUGCUCCUGCUGCAUGGUGGGGGUUGGAAAGCUCCGGCGGUUGUGGAUGGACUCGCGGCCUAUCAGCUUGUUGGUGGGGUAGUGGCCUACCAAGGCGGCGACGGGUAGCCGGCCUGAGAGGGUGACCGGCCACAUUGGGACUGAGAUACGGCCCAGACUCCUACGGGAGGCAGCAGUGGGGAAUAUUGCACAAUGGGCGCAAGCCUGAUGCAGCAACGCCGCGUGCGGGAUGACGGCCUUCGGGUUGUAAACCGCUUUCAGCAGGGACGAAGCUUUUUGUGACGGUACCUGCAGAAGAAGCACCGGCUAACUACGUG
RNAcentral lists this ribosomal RNA (465 nucleotides) under uncultured bacterium. RNAcentral's name for it is "partial 16S ribosomal RNA". It matches the Rfam family "Bacterial small subunit ribosomal RNA", at positions 28 to 507 of the family's 1533-position model. The record is from RNAcentral.